GCUGCUGCCAUCAACCCACAGAAAUUCAAGCAGGGAUACCUUGAAGGCUUUGGAGACAUGCAAUAAGCUGUGGAAGCUCUUCCCAUGAAACUGCAGACUUCUCCAGUUGAGAGAGAAGUCUUUUGGUGCUAUCAAGUAUCACUGAAGAGGAGAAAUAAGACAGCACUGAGCUGUCAUUGAAAAUCUGUCUCAGGCUAUUGGGAACACAACAGGGCAGGGAGGGAGAUGUGCUGUCCUUAAUAUUUCACUGCAUACAGUCAGAAGAUCACCAAAAUAUUCCUUUCAUCUUUGAAGAAUACAUUUCAUCUUUGGAAUAUCUUUGGGGGAAAAUACAGUGAUAUUCGGGCCAGAGUGGUCUGACUGUGUAGCAUCAGAGAUGUGCUCCAGUAUAGCUCAUGGGAGCAGAAGGUGCUGCUGAGGCUGCUGGCUGGAAGAGCCAUUAGCCACAAGGGGGAGGCAGCAACCAGUGAUAUGAAGCACCAACCGCUGUACCUGAGGAUUUCAUUCUGAUUGUGGUAAUGCUCACAAGGGGAAUUGGAUCUUUUGACCAAGACAACUGCCUGGAUGCUGAUGUUGCAAAUAUCCCUCAAUGGUGUCUUCAGCUAAAUGGGCUGAGACUCCCCAAACUGCUCUGGUGAUUCUAUGUGAUCAUUACAGCAUAUCCAUGAUCAGUUCUUGUCGAUUAUCUUAAGCUAUGUAAGAAACACAUCUUAACUAUGAAUAAAAGACAGCCCAACAUGCCUGUCUUUUC
Molecule: long non-coding RNA, 751 nt
Organism: Neopelma chrysocephalum (saffron-crested tyrant-manakin)
Lineage: Eukaryota; Metazoa; Chordata; Aves; Passeriformes; Pipridae
Exons: 4
Source: RefSeq, a predicted model, not a curated record